Molecule: microRNA precursor, 78 nt
Filed under: Tetraodon nigroviridis (spotted green pufferfish)
Lineage: Eukaryota; Metazoa; Chordata; Actinopteri; Tetraodontiformes; Tetraodontidae
Description: microRNA tni-mir-29b precursor (tni-mir-29b-2)
Gene: tni-mir-29b-2
Rfam family: mir-29 microRNA precursor family (bases 6-73)
About the family: This family represents the microRNA (miRNA) precursors mir-29. Animal miRNAs are transcribed as ~70nt precursors and subsequently processed by the Dicer enzyme to give a ~22nt product.
Source: miRBase by way of RNAcentral
CUCUUGGAAGCUGGUUUCAGGUGGUGGCUUAGAGUAUUGUCAUCUAUCUAGCACCAUUUGAAAUCAGUGUUCUUGGGG